RNAcentral lists this ribosomal RNA (118 nucleotides) under Lepisosteus oculatus (spotted gar). The record is from RNAcentral. Lineage: Eukaryota; Metazoa; Chordata; Actinopteri; Semionotiformes; Lepisosteidae.
GCCAGCAGCCAUAUCACCCUGCAACUCACAACUUGCAACCCACUGACGUCAAGCAGGCGUGAGCCUGGUUAGAAGUUGGAUGGGAGACCUCCUGGGAAAUCUAAGGUUGUUGCUGGAA